GGAAUCUUGGACAAUGGGGGCAACCCUGAUCCAGCGACGCCGCGUGGGUGAUGAAGGCCUUCGGGUUGUAAAGCCCUUUCGACGGGGACGAUGAUGACGGUACCCGGCGAAGAAGCACCGGCUAACUCUGUGCCAGCAGCCGCGGUAAUACAGAGGGUGCGAGCGUUAAUCGGAAUUACUGGGCGUAAAGCGCACGUAGGCGGCUCUGCAAGUCGGGUGUGAAAUCCCCGGGCUCAACCUGGGAACUGCAUUCGAUACUGCAUUGCUAGAGUAUGGGAGAGGGAAGUGGAAUUUCCGGUGUAGCGGUGAAAUGCGUAGAUAUCGGAAGGAACACCAGUGGCGAAAGCGACUUCCUGGACCAAUACUGACGCUCAGGUGCGAAAGCGUGGGGAGCAAAC
Molecule: ribosomal RNA, 398 nt
Filed under: uncultured bacterium
Lineage: Bacteria
Description: bacterial SSU rRNA
Rfam family: Bacterial small subunit ribosomal RNA
Source: RNAcentral